GAUGAACGCUGGCGGCGUGCCUAAUACAUGCAAGUCGAGCGAACAGACGAGGAGCUUGCUCCUCUGACGUUAGCGGCGGACGGGUGAGUAACACGUGGAUAACCUACCUAUAAGACUGGGAUAACUUCGGGAAACCGGAGCUAAUACCGGAUAAUAUAUUGAACCGCAUGGUUCAAUAGUGAAAGACGGUUUUGCUGUCACUUGUAGAUGGAUCCGCGCCGCAUUAGCUAGUUGGUAAGGUAACGGCUUACCAAGGCAACGAUGCGUAGCCGACCUGGGAGGUGGACCGGCCACCGUGGGACUGCGGUACGGACCAGAAGGCUAUGGGCGGCAGUAGUGGGGAAUAUUGCACAAUGGGCGGACGCCUGACAUAAAAACGUCGCGUGCGGGAUGACGGCUUUAGGGUUGUAAACCACUUUCGCAUGUAAAGAAGCGUGAGUGACGGUAAUGGGUAAAGAAGCACCGGCUAACUACGUG
Molecule: ribosomal RNA, 477 nt
Filed under: uncultured bacterium
Lineage: Bacteria
Description: partial 16S ribosomal RNA
Rfam family: Bacterial small subunit ribosomal RNA
Source: RNAcentral